Molecule: ribosomal RNA, 253 nt
Filed under: uncultured bacterium
Lineage: Bacteria
Description: partial 16S ribosomal RNA
Rfam family: Bacterial small subunit ribosomal RNA
Source: RNAcentral
UACGUAGGGGGCUAGCGUUGUCCGGAAUCAUUGGGCGUAAAGAGCGUGUAGGCGGUCCGGUAAGUCCGCUGUGAAAGUCGGGGGCUCAACCCUCGAAUGCCGGUGGAUACUGUCGGGCUAGAGUGCGGAAGAGGCGAGUGGAAUUCCUGGUGUAGCGGUGAAAUGCGCAGAUAUCAGGAGGAACACCUAGUGCGAAGGCAGCUCGCUGGGACGUAACUGACGCUGAGACGCGAAAGCGUGGGGAGCAAACAGG